RNAcentral lists this ribosomal RNA (483 nucleotides) under uncultured bacterium. RNAcentral describes it as "partial 16S ribosomal RNA". It matches the Rfam family "Bacterial small subunit ribosomal RNA", at positions 28 to 523 of the family's 1533-position model. The record is from RNAcentral.
GACGAACGCUGGCGGCGUGCCUAACACAUGCAAGUCGAACGGAGAUAGAUGAUUUCGGUUAUUUAUUUUAGUGGCGAACGGGUGAGUAACGCGUGAACAACCUGACCUUAAGAGGGGGAUAACGUCGAGAAAUCGGUGCUAAUACCGCAUAAGACCACAACGUCACAUGGCGAAGGGGUCAAAGAUUUAUCGCUUAAGGAGGGGUUCGCGUCCCAUUAGAUAGUAGGCGGGGUAACGGCCCACCUAGUCGACGAUGGGUAGCCGAGCUGAGAGGCUGAUCGGCCGCACUGGAACUGAGACACGGUCCAGACUCCUACGGGAGGCAGCAGUGGGGAAUAUUGGGCAAUGGGCGCAAGCCUGACCCAGCAACGCCGCGUGAGGGAAGAAGGCCUUCGGGUUGUAAACCUCUGUCGCAAGGGACGAAGAAAGUGACGGUACCUUGUGAGGAAGCCCCGGCUAACUACGUGCCAGCCGCCACCGUAA